Molecule: ribosomal RNA, 760 nt
Filed under: uncultured archaeon
Lineage: Archaea
Description: bacterial SSU rRNA
Rfam family: Archaeal small subunit ribosomal RNA
Source: RNAcentral
GGAUAACUUACCCUUUAGGACUGGGAUAACUCUGGGAAACUGGGGAUAAUACUGGAUAUUAGGCUAUGCCUGGAAUGGUUUGCCUUUGAAAUGUUUUUUUUCGCCUAAGGAUAGGUCUGCGGCUGAUUAGGUCGUUGGUGGGGUAAUGGCCCACCAAGCCGAUGAUCGGUACGGGUUGUGAGAGCAAGGGCCCGGAGAUGGAACCUGAGACAAGGUUCCAGACCCUACGGGGUGCAGCAGGCGCGAAACCUCCGCAAUGUACGAAAGUGCGACGGGGGGAUCCCAAGUGUUAUGCUUUUUUGUAUGACUUUUCAUUAGUGUAAAAAGCUUUUAGAAUAAGAGCUGGGCAAGACCGGUGCCAGCCGCCGCGGUAACACCGGCAGCUCGAGUGGUAGCUGUUUUUAUUGGGCCUAAAGCGUUCGUAGCCGGUUUGAUAAGUCUUUGGUGAAAGCUUGUAGCUUAACUAUAAGAAUUGCUGGAGAUACUAUUAGACUUGAAGUCGGGAGAGGUUAGAGGUACUACCGGGGUAGGGGUGAAAUCCUAUAAUCCUGGGAGGACCACCUGUGGCGAAGGCGUCUAACUGGAACGAUCUUGACGGUGAGUAACGAAAGCCAGGGGCGCGAACCGGAUUAGAUACCCGGGUAGUCCUGGCCGUAAACGAUGUGAACUUGGUGUUGGAAUGGCUUUGAGUUGUUCCGGUGCCGAAGGGAAGCUGUUAAGUCCACCGCCUGGGAAGUACGGUCGCAAGACUGAAACUUAA